UCGGAUAUGGUGUAAUGGUUAACAUUGCCGCCUCUCAUGUGACAGUAUUGACUGCUUCGCGGCAGCUCGGGGUUCGAUUCCCCGUAUCCGAA
Molecule: non-coding RNA, 92 nt
Organism: Pterulicium gracile
Lineage: Eukaryota; Fungi; Basidiomycota; Agaricomycetes; Agaricales; Pterulaceae
Source: the annotation of a GenBank genome assembly